CAGUGGUGUGACUGAUCCUUUAACCUGUAGUGUGUUGGUUAUUCAUAGCUAGGCUACAUAGUUUGACUGCACAUUUCUUUGGUCCUUAGCCAUAUGGGUCCUUGCUGUAUCACUAUGUUGGCUAUGUAGGUUCAGAUUCACUGUUUGGAGUAGGAUGUACCUAGACGGCUAUUGAUCUUGAUAAAAAAAGAGAAGUCCUAUGUGAUUCAUAAGACUGAGUUUAAAAAAUCUCUGGCCAGAGUAAAUGUGAAUACUGAAAAAGAGUUUUUACAGGAUUCACAAAUGAACUU
Molecule: long non-coding RNA, 290 nt
Filed under: Elaeis guineensis (African oil palm)
Lineage: Eukaryota; Viridiplantae; Streptophyta; Magnoliopsida; Arecales; Arecaceae
Description: long non-coding RNA (EGUI_LNC068758)
Source: RNAcentral